This is a non-coding RNA of Lolium perenne, 404 nucleotides long. The record is from RefSeq and is a predicted model, not a curated record. NCBI's taxonomy places the organism in Eukaryota, Viridiplantae, Streptophyta, Magnoliopsida, Poales, Poaceae.
GUUAAUUUCGCCGGACACGCACCAAACCCACCGAGAAAAGAUAGUGAUAGCAGGUGCUGUCCGUGGGCAGGACGACGGGAAUCAUUCAGGAAUCAGGAAGAACUCGGCUGGUUGAGGGUUUGUGAAUAUAUAUAUUCUUGCAAUCAUGGCCUUGCAAUGUUGGGGGCCUCUGCUGAAGCCGCAAAUGGUACAAGUCUCAAGCCCUUCCCUAAGCGCGAUACAGAUUGCAGGCUAUGGAACUGCAUUUGCAAUGGUGGCAGGAACGACCUUGCUUCGGCAACCUUCUCUUGGAUCACAUGUUGGUGGUGGCAUAACCAACCGUGUGUCUCACAGAAGCAGGAGGCCUCCCAAUGUGGUCUCGAUGGCACAACGACACAACGCUAAGGUACCAAAACACGAUGUUC